RNAcentral lists this ribosomal RNA (434 nucleotides) under Arthrobacter sp. Its description in RNAcentral is "bacterial SSU rRNA". It matches the Rfam family "Bacterial small subunit ribosomal RNA", at positions 21 to 456 of the family's 1533-position model. The record is from RNAcentral. Lineage: Bacteria; Bacillati; Actinomycetota; Actinomycetes; Micrococcales; Micrococcaceae.
GGCUCAGGAUGAACGCUGGCGGCGUGCUUAACACAUGCAAGUCGAACGAUGAACCUCACUUGUGGGGGGAUUAGUGGCGAACGGGUGAGUAACACGUGAGUAACCUGCCCUUGACUCUGGGAUAAGCCUGGGAAACCGGGUCUAAUACUGGAUACGACCUUCUGGCGCAUGCCAUGUUGGUGGAAAGCUUUUGUGGUUUUGGAUGGACUCGCGGCCUAUCAGCUUGUUGGUGGGGUAAUGGCCUACCAAGGCGACGACGGGUAGCCGGCCUGAGAGGGUGACCGGCCACACUGGGACUGAGACACGGCCCAGACUCCUACGGGAGGCAGCAGUGGGGAAUAUUGCACAAUGGGCGCAAGCCUGAUGCAGCGACGCCGCGUGAGGGAUGAAGGCCUUCGGGUUGUAAACCUCUUUCAGUAGGGAAGAAGCCGGCC